GACGAACGCUGGCGGCGUGCUUAACACAUGCAAGUCGAACGGAAAGGCCCUGCUUUUGCGGGGUGCUCGAGUGGCGAACGGGUGAGUAACACGUGAGUAACCUGCCCUUGACUUUGGGAUAACUUCAGGAAACUGGGGCUAAUACCGGAUAGGAGCUCCUGCUGCAUGGUGGGGGUUGGAAAGUUUAGGCGGUUGGGGAUGGACUCGCGGCUUAUCAGCUUGUUGGUGGGGUAGUGGCUUACCAAGGCUUUGACGGGUAGCCGGCCUGGGAGGGUGACCGGCCACAUUAGUACUGCGGGACGGCCCAGACUCCUACGGGAGGCAGCAGUGGGGAGUCUUGCACAAUGGGGGGACGCGUGAUGCAGAAACGCCGCGUGCGGGAUGACGGCCUUCUGGUUGUAAACCGCUUUCGCCUGUGACGAAGCGUGAGUGACGGUAAUGGGUAAAGAAGCACCGGCUAACUACGUG
RNAcentral lists this ribosomal RNA (468 nucleotides) under uncultured bacterium. Its description in RNAcentral is "partial 16S ribosomal RNA". It matches the Rfam family "Bacterial small subunit ribosomal RNA", at positions 28 to 507 of the family's 1533-position model. The record is from RNAcentral.